GUGCGGCGCAUGGGUCAGGAGAUCCUGAAUGGAAAACCACAGGCCUGCCCGCCCGCCGCCUCCGCUCCGUGAACUUCCCACUGUUUCUGGUCAGCCUUCCCCGCAGUGGCCUCUAGAUCAGGGUGUCAUUUCCUGUUUUCUGGCUGCUGUUCUUCAGCUGCUAAGUCCUGUCUCUCUGCAAACCCAAUGACUGCUGCACACCAGGCUCCUCUGUCCUCCCGUCUCCCAGAGCUCGCUCAAACUCGUGUCCGUCGAGUCGAUGAUGCCAUCCAACCAUCGCAUCCUCUGCCACCCCCUUCUCUUCCCGCCUUCAGUCUUUCCCAGCAUCAGGGGCUUUUCAGUGAGCCAGCUCUGUCCUGGUGCUCACAGUUUUAAUAAGACUGUUGUUUUGUUUUCUUUCUUUUUUUUUUUUUAUGGCUAUGAUACUUUCUUGAAGUUCUGAGGGCACUAAUCCAUGUGUCUGGAGUCCUCUCCUCUUUCACCGAGUACAGGGCAGGUUGUAACUUUUUGUGUGAAGAGAGAGACAGUAAAGAGCUCCUGCUUCGUGAGCUGUCUGGAGUCAGUUACUUGCUGUCUGUUAUUUUUAAGAAACUGUACAUAAAAGCCAUCCUUCGUUUUUCCACGGCCACUGUGUGCUGAGGCUUUACCAACCCUCUCUGGAAUUGGGUGGGUGGUCCUGUGCAUCCCACCUGGCUGCCAGCACAGGAUGCCCCCACGUCUCCUGGUUGCUGCAGUACCUGUGACUGUCAGCACAACGCUGCUUGCCACAGAGCCACCGGCCAACGGACGGGACAGACACUGGCCGUUCCUGGCUCCUACACAUUCAGAGGAACGGCUUCCUGGUCUGCAGGGUCGUAAAACCUUCAGACCCAGGACAAGACAAUCAUUAACUGCUGUCCAGUUUAUCAAGGAGAGAAACUCCUGGUGGAUCGUCAGCUCUUAAACAUGCAGAUCAGAUCAGAUCAGAUCAGUCGCUCAGUCGUGUCCGACUCUUUGCGACCCCGUGAAUCGCAGCACGCCAGGCUCCUAAAUAACGGUGUGUGGUCCUGAGAAAGGGUCAAGGGGUGGCGUCACUAUGUCUGGAGAAAGUGAGGAACUGGGACCCAAAAGAGAGCCAUAAAGACAACAAACAACGUCAC
This is a long non-coding RNA of Bos taurus (domestic cattle), 1139 nucleotides long. The record is from Ensembl. Lineage: Eukaryota; Metazoa; Chordata; Mammalia; Artiodactyla; Bovidae.